UCCUUUUAAUUUGCUACACGUAUGUAAGAUUAUUUCUGUAACAAUUUUAAUUAGAAACAAUGGUAGUAAGUCGUAACUCCAAAGAACAUUUACAUCAUAUAAAAAAUUCUAUAUGCUAUUUACCAUACUAAUAUUUCGUUUCUCCUCGUACGAAAGUUUUCGAAUAGUUGCACGAAUAACGAUUAGCUACAUUCUUUUCUGGAGAAAUGUACAUUCAAAUGAAGUUCCAUUUAGCGCUACAUCACAUCGAUUCGUCUACUGACCGCUAAAUUAGCAACAAUGACGUUAAUAUCGACUAAAAUCGUUCAUUUCGCGUCUCGUCGUCGGUUGCAGAGUGCCUUGCGACGUAUGAUGGAAAUAACACGCAGCAAUUACUCACAAUAUCAAUAGAAGAAAAUAGUCCAUAUGUAUGUAUAUAUAUACAUAUAUAUCGCCACAUACAUAUAUAUAUAUACUACGUAUGCAAUGCAGUUUUAAUAUAUAUUUAUUUAUUUAUUUCAUAUAUCCAUUGCUCAUCAUCCAUAUCCAUUUAUAAACGACGGUUAGAUCAUACAUUACAUCUGAGUAUUAAAACAUCAUUUCUUUCUUUCUCUUUCACGCUUGUCUUGAAUUUCCCGCAGCGGUAUUGUUCCACGGUUAUACUGAUCUUUUUUAAUACUCUGGUGCACUCGUGAGCCAGGGUCUUCGGUAAGUCUUGCUCAGUAUCAUCGAAAGGACAAACAUCCGGAUCGGUCGAUCGAGGAAAAACUGAAGUUUCGUUCAGCUAAUCUGUGAACAAUUUCGUCGACUUAUCUCGAGAUACGUGAAUCGUCGAAUUUCUGCAACAGGCGGAUCGGUGUUUCAAAUUCGAUCGAUCGUGCAUCAAUCGUGCAGUCAAACUUCGAUCGUGAUUGGUUCACGUGCAAUGAUCGAAAACUCAACCAAUUUUGUCAAGAAUUUGAUGUAUAAGUUGAUCG
This 956-nucleotide unclassified non-coding RNA is filed under the name Bombus terrestris (buff-tailed bumblebee). Its description in RNAcentral is "misc RNA ENSBTSG00005032050.1". Lineage: Eukaryota; Metazoa; Arthropoda; Insecta; Hymenoptera; Apidae. The record is from RNAcentral.